This is a long non-coding RNA of Meleagris gallopavo (turkey), 820 nucleotides long. RefSeq lists it as uncharacterized. Lineage: Eukaryota; Metazoa; Chordata; Aves; Galliformes; Phasianidae. The record is from RefSeq and is a predicted model, not a curated record.
ACCUGCGGCACUUUUUCCAUCCCGGCACGCAUUCCGCGCACCAGCGCUGCCAGCUGGUGACCGGGCGCAGUGGCUGGGUGGAGGUGGGGGUCUGUGGAGCAGCUGCAGCCACAGCAGCGUCGGCUCUGCAUGGCAGAGUUGUGAGCGUUUGAGAGGUGAAUUGGUAAGAAGCGCUCUGUUGCGCACCACGCUUAGUCAAAGCGCUUGAAAGAGUAAAUGCCGGGAGUGGGAAAGCGGCUGACGCUUUUCUUUCCAGGAGGAUACACUUGACCUGCUGACUUAAAUGGAGAUACGAGUGAGAUCAAAGGCAGAAGAGCUCUCAGUUGGCUGCAACUCUAGAGACAUGCAAGAAUUCUUUGCAAAGAUGCCAGGUAGGUAGCAACAAAGCCAUGCUGAAAAAUCCAACGGUGAUCAAAAAGACUUCAGGGCCUUGCGGAGAUGGAUAGAAGGAUCAAGAGGGCAGGCAGUGCUCCCUUCUACUCUUCAAGUUGAGGGGAACAGUAUUGAAAGAAAGAGGUAAGCUUUCAAUAUGGUUUGAAGGGAUACAUUGUGAAAAUCAGGUUUACAACUGAUAAGCAAUAGAAUAGCACGUCAUGUUUGACAGCAAGCUAGUGAGGGUUUUACUGAGUACUUUGGAGAACUCUUGAAGUGUUUGUAUACCAGUACAUGCAGUAUGAAAAUAAAUAAGAGGAGCUAAAAGCCUGGUUCAGUUGCAAUGCUACAACAUCAUUACAAUUUGUUGAACCUGUGUGAAGAGUCCUGUGCUUGAAGUGCUAUGAUAGGUGAUGAUAGGUUCUUCAGGAAACAUAGGCAGGUCAGG